GCCUGGCUCAGUUGGUGGAGUGUGGUGCUUGCAAUGCAAAGGUUGUGGGUUCAAUUCCCACCGGCG
Molecule: non-coding RNA, 66 nt
Organism: Dallia pectoralis (Alaska blackfish)
Lineage: Eukaryota; Metazoa; Chordata; Actinopteri; Esociformes; Umbridae
Source: the annotation of a GenBank genome assembly